UGGUGUUUCCAUACUCUGUGGUGGCUGGAAUUGAUUUUCGUCCCCCUUCCUAGGGUUUAUGGAAUAUUGGGGUAUUUAUAAAGCAAAGAGGCGGUGCGGGACGCCAACAAGGAGGGCAUAACCCACCAGGUCGCGUCUGGGCCCCCAUGCGCGCACUGGUGGAUUGUGCUCCCAUCGGAGCUCCCUUAGGUGCGUUCCUGGCCCAGUGGAUGUCUUCUGGCCCAAAAAAACCACAAAAAGUUUCGCCGCGUUCGGACUCCGUUUGGU
RNAcentral lists this long non-coding RNA (267 nucleotides) under Hordeum vulgare. RNAcentral describes it as "long non-coding RNA (HVUL_LNC003542)". Lineage: Eukaryota; Viridiplantae; Streptophyta; Magnoliopsida; Poales; Poaceae. The record is from RNAcentral.